Molecule: ribosomal RNA, 1395 nt
Filed under: Bacillus safensis
Lineage: Bacteria; Bacillati; Bacillota; Bacilli; Caryophanales; Bacillaceae
Description: bacterial SSU rRNA
Rfam family: Bacterial small subunit ribosomal RNA
Source: RNAcentral
GCGGACAGAAGGGAGCUUGCUCCCGGAUGUUAGCGGCGGACGGGUGAGUAACACGUGGGUAACCUGCCUGUAAGACUGGGAUAACUCCGGGAAACCGGAGCUAAUACCGGAUAGUUCCUUGAACCGCAUGGUUCAAGGAUGAAAGACGGUUUCGGCUGUCACUUACAGAUGGACCCGCGGCGCAUUAGCUAGUUGGUGGGGUAAUGGCUCACCAAGGCGACGAUGCGUAGCCGACCUGAGAGGGUGAUCGGCCACACUGGGACUGAGACACGGCCCAGACUCCUACGGGAGGCAGCAGUAGGGAAUCUUCCGCAAUGGACGAAAGUCUGACGGAGCAACGCCGCGUGAGUGAUGAAGGUUUUCGGAUCGUAAAGCUCUGUUGUUAGGGAAGAACAAGUGCGAGAGUAACUGCUCGCACCUUGACGGUACCUAACCAGAAAGCCACGGCUAACUACGUGCCAGCAGCCGCGGUAAUACGUAGGUGGCAAGCGUUGUCCGGAAUUAUUGGGCGUAAAGGGCUCGCAGGCGGUUUCUUAAGUCUGAUGUGAAAGCCCCCGGCUCAACCGGGGAGGGUCAUUGGAAACUGGGAAACUUGAGUGCAGAAGAGGAGAGUGGAAUUUCCACGUGUAGCGGUGAAAUGCGUAGAGAUGUGGAGGAACACCAGUGGCGAAGGCGACUCUCUGGUCUGUAACUGACGCUGAGGAGCGAAAGCGUGGGGAGCGAACAGGAUUAGAUACCCUGGUAGUCCACGCCGUAAACGAUGAGUGCUAAGUGUUAGGGGGUUUCCGCCCCUUAGUGCUGCAGCUAACGCAUUAAGCACUCCGCCUGGGGAGUACGGUCGCAAGACUGAAACUCAAAGGAAUUGACGGGGGCCCGCACAAGCGGUGGAGCAUGUGGUUUAAUUCGAAGCAACGCGAAGAACCUUACCAGGUCUUGACAUCCUCUGACAACCCUAGAGAUAGGGCUUUCCCUUCGGGGACAGAGUGACAGGUGGUGCAUGGUUGUCGUCAGCUCGUGUCGUGAGAUGUUGGGUUAAGUCCCGCAACGAGCGCAACCCUUGAUCUUAGUUGCCAGCAUUCAGUUGGGCACUCUAAGGUGACUGCCGGUGACAAACCGGAGGAAGGUGGGGAUGACGUCAAAUCAUCAUGCCCCUUAUGACCUGGGCUACACACGUGCUACAAUGGACAGAACAAAGGGCUGCAAGACCGCAAGGUUUAGCCAAUCCCAUAAAUCUGUUCUCAGUUCGGAUCGCAGUCUGCAACUCGACUGCGUGAAGCUGGAAUCGCUAGUAAUCGCGGAUCAGCAUGCCGCGGUGAAUACGUUCCCGGGCCUUGUACACACCGCCCGUCACACCACGAGAGUUUGCAACACCCGAAGUCGGUGAGGUAACCUUUA